This 4595-nucleotide long non-coding RNA is filed under the name Homo sapiens (human). Its description in RNAcentral is "HSALNT0229976". Lineage: Eukaryota; Metazoa; Chordata; Mammalia; Primates; Hominidae. The record is from RNAcentral.
ACAAUAUUAUUUUAAUAGUUACUUGCAUUCUUCCUGACAUAUUUAAGUAUAGCUAUAUAUCACAAAAUAUCCUGUGUUUUAUUAGUAUAACAAUCGAAAGCAUCAUAUUCCUCAUCGAUUUUACCGUACUUUAUAAAUAGCAUUGAAAAACAUAUGACUGCUCAUCAAUAGCACAAAGCGAUUAUGAGAACUGCAGAUUACCUGGUUAGGUGAAGAAAAGGUUUUUUUCAUUCAGUGGCAAUAGUGGCAACCCAAGAAACACAGCUAGCAAUAUCAGAAAAGGGAAUUGCCCUUCCUGGCUAAUAACAGUUUUAUUAAAUAUUUGUGUAAAAUGCACAAAUGGCAAGAUAAUAAUUAUGAUAUUUUAGAUGCCGUCAAAAAACAGACAUGCAUCUACUAUUCAUUAAACAGAGUAAGAUGCAUCGCAAGUCAUGGACACUCCCAAUCUCAAGACAUUUUAUUCUCAGCUCAUGUGAGAAAAACAUGAGUCAGAGAAGGCAGCUGCAGAGGUAGGAGACAGAAAAACACUGGACACAAAUCCUGAGCUACAAAUUAUUGGAAACUUUAAAAAUCCUGUCUGCCAGUGCAUGUUUCUGACCACGAAACCCAAAAAGAUGAGGAAAAUAUAACACUUUUUCUUCCUAAAAGAUUGAAAGGUCUUUUAACCUCAUAUUUUGGUGGAUCACAGUAACAAGAUUAUAGUAACAUGAACUACAUCAAAUAUUACAUCAGGAAUGAAAUGGAGGGUAUGUCCUCUGUGCCCAGGAACGCUGAUUAAAAUUAGUCAAGACCCACGCUCUCAGACACUCCAAUGUUCUCUCCUUGACUCUGUGGCCAAACCGUUUAUGAGAAAGCCAAAAGAGGAAUAUGUUUUUGAGAUUUCUUUCACAAGAUUGUGACUAUAGUUACGUCAACCUAAAGUCAUCAGAAAGAUUAGAAUCUAAAAGACUUUAUUUAAAUACAAACAUUUAGGAUAGACUGCCUAGAAAAGCACAGAUUUUAAAGAAUGGAAGUCAGUAUUCCAAAGUGUAGAAUUUUAAGAUCAUUUAAACAAAAUUCAAGAAAGUUUAACAGAAUUUUAACAUCUUUCUAUGUAAGGUUUAAUGUAUAGUUAUAAUAUUUUGAUUAGAUAAUCAAAUAUUAUCAAUUUUUUGGAAAAGAUAUAUUUAACAUUCUAAACAAGGCAGGUUCUGGUGUCCCUGGAAGUUGUAGUUUUGAUGUUAAUGCUUGUUUACACUUAUAGAUUCUGCAUUGACCACCAGAAGCUCCUCACACAAUGGCAGCAGGUUGGUGAACAAGAUAUAAAAGAUUCUACAGGCCCCAACCUGAGUGAUCCUCCUGCUUUAUAGGGUCUGUAUUGAUCUCUCAUGAUACAAGAAAGGUCUGCCCUGGAUUUUCUGUAAUCCUCAGACUGAAGGCUGGCCCUGUUUUAUGAAUCUCACGGGGAGGCAAAUUCCCCUUGUGUGCAAAUUCUAUGAGGGAUCGCAUCUGUUCUGUAUUCUUGGGUUUUACAGCAAGAAGAGACAAGAGGAAAAGAGAUUCCUUCCAGGAAGGCUGCUAUAGAGCAAUGUAAUCUCUGGUAUCCCCCAAAGCCAAGGAGAUCAAGUAAUGCAAUACAAGAAAGAGCAGAGUGUUAGACCUGAGAGGGAUCUCUCUGCUUACAACUCUGAGGGCCUCAUGAGAAAAAGCAGUUUCCUCCCAAGAGGAGGAGACUGUGACAACUUUUCUGUUUUCUGUGAUUCUAGGCUAGAAUUCUGUUAGAAUUCUUUUUUUGGGGGGCGUUCCCCUCAUGUGGCAUUUGGAGUGGCAAGAGGAAGGACAGACAGAAGUAAAUGGAGAAACAGAAUUCAUUUGACUUUUACAGAGAGAGGAGAUCUUAAAACCAUGCAUAUGUGUAUGUACGUAGAGUAAAUAUCAGUUUUUAUUAAGUCAACUUUGGACUAUAGAGCUCUUUAAAAAUCCUUUUCCUAACUGUAAUUCCUACUCAAGUCAUUAUACUUUUGCUGCUAGCUGGACCUCUGUAGCCAAAUGAGCAGCCAUUACACCUUAGUCGCUGUUCAACACCCUUCCUCACUGCAGUGUGAUAGACCACUCUCAGAUAACAAUCAUGCUAAUUCUGCCAGAAGUAUCCUAACUAGAGGCCCUAUCUUGAAUAAAGGCCAGGUAAAGCCAAACCUAUGGCCGGGCACAGUGGCUCGCACCUGUAAUCCCAACACUUUGGGAGGCUGAAGUGGGCAGAUCAGCUGAGGUCAGAGAUUCAAAAACAGCCUGGCCAACAUGGUGAAACCCUGUCUCUACUAAAAAUAUAUAAAUUAGCCGGGUGUGGUGGCGGGCACCUGUAAUCCCGGCUACUCGGGAGGCUGAGGCAGGAGAAUGGCUUACGCCCAAGAGGCGGUGAUUGCAGUGAGCCGAGAUUGCACCACUGCAGUCCAGCCUGGGCAACUCAGCGAGACUCUGUCUCAAGAAAAAAAAAAAAAAAAUGCCAAACCUGCUGGAUUACUUUCCGAGGGGGCUGGGCACUCUUGGUCACAAGAUGUUUAUGGUUGAAACACUGAGUUAAUGAUGUUAAUCAACUAAAUAAGAACUCAAAACUUAAGAAAAUGUCCCAGUACUUUAAGAAAAAGCAUUAUUAGUUUAAGUAUGUUUUGCUUUAAAAAUAGUACUCAUAAAUUCUUGCUGAAAUCAAUAGUAACAUAGAAAAGUAACAAUACUAAUAGCCUGUCAUAAGCUGAUUAGAAUCCUCUGUAAUAAAGUAUACCAUUCUUAAUAACCUAUAUAACCAUUUGAAAUGGGUGCAUUUCUCCUCUUGCUUUCUGAGGAAGGCCUACUCUAACAGAGGAGCUUUCAAUAAACUAUCUCUUCUCAUUGCAAGGCAUUCCUCUUCCUGCUUUCUGAGGAUGCCCUACUCUGUAACUGAGUAGUCUCUAAUAAACUUUACUACACUCUGCAACUCACCAAGAAUUCUUUCCUGUGUGAGAUUCAAGAACCCACUCUUGGGGUCUGGGACAAGAUCAUCACAUCUCUUCUAGUGACUCUGCCAGGACUUGAAUGAGGUGAAGUCCCAACUCAAAGGAAUGAGGUCCCAACCCAAAGGAAACAGACUCUGCAGCACCAAUGGGCUGACGCAAACUCUAGUUGUAAAUUUUUGACAAAUAAACCCUUACGACCUUCACCUAGUUUAGAAACAGAACAUUUUCAUCAUCUUCAGAAAAUUCACUCGUGUUUUGUCCCAGGCACCUAUCUUUUCUUCCUCAGCCAGAGGCUAUCAAUGUGUUUAUUUCACCAUAGGUUUAUUUUGCCUGAAAUAAUACAAUACAUAAAUAUACAAAACACAAUUUUAUGUCUACCUUUUUUCACUUACGAGGUCUAUGAGAUUCAUAUAGGGUGUGAGCUUUAGGCUGAGUUGUAUUCUGUUAUAUGAAUGCUAUGCAAUUAAUUCAAACCACUGCUUUAACCCAACAUCUUUUGGUGAACUACUUACAAACUGGCUCUCAAAUGAAUGUAAAACAUUUGCUGCUAAGUUGUGGCCUUUCAAUCUUACCUGCCUUAUCUAAUCAUUAUUAAGAUAGUCACUAUGAGAAAACUAUUCUCCAAAUUAUUGAAAGUUUAAGUCCUCCAGCAAAAGGAAUAUUAGGGAAGACAUUUCACUGUUAACCCAUAGUAUAUUAUUUCCAUCUGUUAACCACAAUCUUAGAUAAGAUGGAAUAGUUUAACACUGGUGUCAGUACAACAUUUCAUUCAUUGUACAUCAGUGUUAAAACAUGAAAAACCAACUCAUUUUAUUAAAAGAAAUUAAGUUCACCCAUAGUCUACAGCAUUUUAAAAUCCACUAUAUUCUUCCUGGUCAAAAUACAGUUACAAGUACUCAAGAAGCAUUCUUUUUUUCCAAUAUACUAAUCUUGCAGUUCUGUUUUCUACGUUUUUUUAAAGUGAGGCUAAUUAUUUAGUGAAUGUUGAUAGGAAUUAUCUUCACAUUUCCCUGAUACAGGUGAAGAUGUUAUUCUCAUCACAUCAAAUACUCAACUUUUUCACUAUGUAUUCUAUCACAUCAAAUAAUACUAAAGACUCCUACUUUAUUCUGUUUUAAAGAUAUGUUAGUACUUCAACUCAGUGGUCCUAACCUUUUUGGCACCAGGGAUUGGUUUCAUGGAAGACAAUUUUUCUACAAACUGGCAAGGAGAGAGAUGGUUUUGGGAUGAAAAUGUUCUGCCUCAGGUCAUCAGGCAUUAGUUGGAGUCUCCUAAGGAGCACACAACCUAGAUCCCUCACAUGCAUAGUUCACAAUAGGGUUUAUGAAAAUCUAAUGCCACCACUCAUCUGAGAGGAGGCAGAGCUCAGGUGGUAAUGCUUGCUCACCCACCACUCAUGUCCUACUGGUGCAGCUCAGUUUCUAACAGGCCACAGACCAGUAACUGGUCUACAGCCUGGGAAUGGGGACCUCUGCUUUAAAUGAAGUCUUUUUAAAAAAAAAAAAAAAAAAAAACUUAUGGAGGAAUUGAAGUAAUUUCAAAAAUUCAGAAUAUCCCUCUUACUUUAAUAUAGAAAAGAGCUCUAAACACGUAUAUGUUUACAUGCAUUACUACUUUAUUCAAACA